AUUGAACGCCGGCGGCAUGCCUUACACAUGCAAGUCGAACGGCAGCACGGGGCAACCUGGUGGCGAGUGGCGAACGGGUGAGUAAUGCAUCGGAACGUGCCAUUGAGUGGGGGGAUAACGUAGCGAAAGUUGCGCUAAUACCGCAUAUUCUGUGAGCAGGAAAGCAGGGGACCGCAAGGCCUUGCGCUCUUUGAGCGGCCGAUGUCAGAUUAGCUAGUUGGUGAGGUAACGGCUUACCAAGGCGACGAUCGUGUAGCGGGUCUGAGAGGAUGAUCCGCCACACUGGAACUGAGACACGGUCCAGACUCCUACGGGAGGCAGCAGUGGGGAAUUUUGGACAAUGGGCGCAAGCCUGAUCCAGCCAUGCCGCGUGAGUGAAGAAGGCCUU
RNAcentral lists this ribosomal RNA (388 nucleotides) under uncultured bacterium. RNAcentral's name for it is "bacterial SSU rRNA". It matches the Rfam family "Bacterial small subunit ribosomal RNA", at positions 30 to 418 of the family's 1533-position model. The record is from RNAcentral.